RNAcentral lists this ribosomal RNA (292 nucleotides) under uncultured bacterium. Its description in RNAcentral is "partial 16S ribosomal RNA". It matches the Rfam family "Bacterial small subunit ribosomal RNA", at positions 335 to 644 of the family's 1533-position model. The record is from RNAcentral.
UUUCCUACGGGACGCAGCAGUGGGGAAUAUUGCACAAUGGGGGGAACCCUGAUGCAGCGACGCCGCGUGAGUGAAGAAGUAUUUCGGUAUGUAAAGCUCUAUCAGCAGGGAAGAAGAUGACGGUACCUGACUAAGAAGCCCCGGCUAACUACGUGCCAGCAGCCGCGGUAAUACGUAGGGGGCAAGCGUUAUCCGGAUUUACUGGGUGUAAAGGGAGCGCAGGCGGUGCGGCAAGUCUGAUGUGAAAGCCCGGGGCUCAACCCCGGGACUGCAUUGGAAACUACCGAACUAG